Molecule: long non-coding RNA, 4514 nt
Filed under: Apis mellifera (honey bee)
Lineage: Eukaryota; Metazoa; Arthropoda; Insecta; Hymenoptera; Apidae
Description: uncharacterized LOC102655292, transcript variant X1
Source: RNAcentral
UCUUAUUAUAUCUUAUUAUUAAAUAAGAAAAAUGUAAUUCAUUAUAUCUUUUGAUACAGUAUUGAUUACUGUUUGUAAUAGAUAAAAGUAUUGGAAGCGAAUGUUGAACUUCUGAGAACUUUUAAUCUGAUUGAUAAGAUAAUGAAUUAAGUCUUGGAUAAACGAAUGGAAUGAACAUCCGCUAAUUCUUUGACAAUAGGAAUAUAAAGAUAUAUACAUCAAUGAAAACAAGGAUCACGUUUCGUAGAUACUUUAUGGACAUCUUAUAAAAUACAUCAUCUAUCAAAUAAUUUGGGAAAUCUUAGAACGAGUAUAAGGAACUUGAAGAAAUUAUUUGAAAGAGAUUCUUCUACAUGAAAAAUAAGACAUCUAAUUUUUAUUCAUAAAAUUUAAUCAAACCAUUUGAUUUUGGAUAAAAUCGAAUCUCAAUUCUGGUUCAAUAACUUACAUAUCUAUUCAAAUUAUCAAAAAAUUAUAAUCUUUUCUGUUAAAAACCCUCCAAACGAAGAAGAAUGAUCCAAUCACAUAAUAUAAUAUAAAUCAAUAAUUAUUCUGUUUCACGCAAAUUUAUAUUGCCAAAGAGGAAACUCUGACUAAUCAGAGGAAACAAUCAUUAAAAGAGAAAUUACCAUAUAAAUAUUCAAAGUGACUCAUAAGCAUUCUUCGAGUGUGUCACGUUUCACCGUUUCUUCCACCUCCGCCUAUGAAAUACCAAAGGGAUUUCGCAGGUUAACGAGAUCAUAAUAAUCUGCACAGCGGAAUCGAAUACAUUGACCUGAAAAUUAUCGAUGGAUCGUGCAUGGAAACCGUGAAUACGUGCGAAUACGAAGAGAUUCUCGGCAGGAGGAAAGAGAAAAAGAAGGGAUCCAAGAAAGGCACGGCAGGGUACAGGUGCCGCGCCCUGUUGAACCUCCAGUUCGACUUCUCACAGUCGAUUAUGUAUUCAUGAGUGUUUGAGAAGAAAGAAAAAGGAAAAGAAACAUAGUAGUCUCGUUCGAUGCAAAAGAGAUUCCUUUUUAGGCAAAGAUAUAGAUAAAAGCUACACGAAGUUUGCACUGAAGAGAUGCAACACGGAUGAGAAUAGAAUUAUUCUAAUCUAAUUUAAUCUAAUGUUCUAAUCUAAAAAAUUAAAAAAAUUAAUAACACAAAAAAUACAGAAAGAUAUUACAGAAAAAAUCAUUAUAAAAAGAAUUCAUUUAUAUCAUUUAUUGAGUUUAUUAAAUAAUUUUAUAUAUCUUCUAUUUUUUUUUUCUUUUUUUAGUAGAAUUCUUAAAUUUUUUUUAAAUUUGUUUCAUGAGAUUUACGUAUAAGAAAUCUACAUUAUAACUGGACACGCAUUGUUCAAGUAAUAUUCUCACGAUUCGAAUGUAUUCUCAUGAUAGCUAUAUACCGGAUAAAUAUAAUCCGCAUCAAGACACUCGUCUAGCCUGUCCUAUUCUAGCCUAGCUCAGGCAUCCGCGGAUUACAAGAGACUUCCGGUCUACUCUUUCUGAUGGUCAUUGUUGCACCGGGCAGAGAGUGUGACGACCUCGACAGCCUCGAUCCGCUUUUUCCAAAGCGUCUUCUCUUCUCUGUAAGAUGGAUCUCUAUAUCUACAUGGAAUUACUCUUUUCGAGAUUCGAUUUAAAAAUACGAAUGAUGAAAUCAUCGAGAUAUCAAGAAUUUUCCAAUCUUUUUUAAAUUGUGAUUUCUUUUUGCAACAUUUAAAUAGCUUGCAACUAUAUAAGGCCAAUAAAACUCGAUUGCAAUUGCGAAUUAAGUAAUAAUUGAGCAAUAAUUGAGAAAUUGGAAGAAAUAUAAUCUUUUCAACGAAUAUCAUGUAUGAAAGCAUCACGCAUUCAAAAAUUGUCAAAGGAAGAUUGCAAGUACGCGCCACUUAUGUUCGUAAUGCAUCCCGUGCGUAAGUUCGCAUGCAUAUAUGCUUGUGCAUUGUCCAGAAUCGUGAGCCAUGAAAACCAGUCUCUCACCAUAGCUCGUGCCGAACUUUCAGUGUUCAUGUUGCGUGUACAUGUGUCAUUAAAGUGGAAACACGAAAUAAACACGGAUACUUGAACAGGAAGGAUCAUGCAACUGGGACAAAUCAUUCUUUUUUUUUAUAUUAUUAACAGUUCUCCAAGUAAUCACGUAACAGUAUAUUCUUUUCUUGCUAAUCUACUUUUCAAACUAAUAAAAAUCGAUUAUCUAUAUUAUUCAGACAUUUAUAGAAAUUUUUGUAAAUUUUCAGAUUUAAUUAAUUAAUUUCUGUAUUAUAGAACUUUUUAUAUUUGCGAGAAAUUCUUCAAAAACUAAAUUCUCAUGGUAGAAUAAAAAGUUCCAAAGAGUUACUUGUUGUUAUUCUCAUUAAAACUAAAUGCGUGUAUUUCAAAAUAUACAAAUUUGCAUAUUAUUCACGAAAUAGAAAAAGAAUUACAGACAAACAAUAAUACUCAAGUUAAGUAAUAAGUGGUUGAACUCUCUUAUAUAAGAAAUUGUUCAAGAUACAACAAAGAUAUUUGCGUGUUCCAUAAGAAUGGCCUAGCUCGCAAAAAAACUCCCCCAAAGAAUUCCUCGAUAGAAAUUGCAAGCUGCUGCGAAAGCGGCUUCUACUUUGUCGGAACUCGAACGAUAAAAAAGGGAAGAAAAGAAGAAGGGAGGUAAGAAAGGAAGAAAGGAAGGAAGGAAGAGGAAACUUUGUCUGGCUUCUAAUAAUAAAAGGCGCGUGUACGAUAUGUAAUGGAUGUAAAAGGAGUAAAAAAAUUCCACGAUAAUUCCCGAUGGAAUGAAACAUCUGCCCUCAACUUCCACCACCUACUUCCGAAUCCUUCGCCAUUCUUGCGCACCCUCGUCACCACACACCGUGGAUAUUCAAUCCUUCCGAUGAACGAAAGGGGAAAGCAAAGGUUUCUAUCGAUUCGUUGAGGGGUUGGUUCCGGUCUCAGUAGGGUGAUUUACAGAAUUCUCAUGGUACGAAUUGAAGGCACCAAAAAAAUUCAAAAGCAUAGGUAAAUUCUAACUGCGGAAGAGGAAACAAGAAACUCGGGAUCUCAAUCUUCGAAGGGGUGGCGUGCCACGACAAAUCGAUUUCUUCACUGCGGAUAAAAAACGCGGAUAACUCGAGAGAAUCGUUGCGGUCAGUGAGGAAUGUCUGCGAGCAUAUCUCUCGUGCCCCUUUUUCCUCCACAUCUCUAGUUAUUUUCCGAAUGAUCGAACAUUUGCCUGGCAAAACGGAACGGAACGAACUGUGGGAAACGGUGUAGCGGGCUUCGUAUCCGACGCGAAAUAUCGAAGCCAUUGAAGAGACAAAGGGAACCAAAGCCGUGCACCGGCGAUACAAUGAGCCGAUCUUUGGAAAUCGAGAGGUGGUUUCGAACCAGUUAUCUUACAAUAACGUGUCUUUUUUUUGUUUUCUUUUAUUCGGGAUCGGAUAUGCGGAUCCGGCAUGUGAUUCCACCCGAUUAAAGUCAACCCUUCCUGGUAACUCUAGUUUUUUAAUCCAGAAUCUCAUAAGAUUUUUGGAUUUUUGCAUAUUUUAUUUAAUUGUUGUAAAUUUUAACUUAAGAUUAUUUGUUUUAUUAAAAUUUAUAUGUCGAUGUUUAAAUUUUACUAAAACGUUAAGUAAAAGUUAUAGAACUUGUAUAUCAUUAUUCAAUAAUCCUAAAAUUGUUUUGUAUCAUUAAAUAUAUGAAGCUUUUGGAAGUGGAAAAUCUCAGAUAAUAGAAAUUUUUAAUCAAAAUAUCAAAUAACGAGAAAUAUUCAAAGAGUUGAAACUUUAAUUCAGCAGAAUGAGAAAUUUUCUUUGUCUUUUAAGCAAAAUCUUAUGAAUUAUGUAAACAGAGGGAUGGAAUUUCUCUCAUAAUUGUGUAAUUAAUAAGUUGAUUCAAUGGAAUUAGAUUAUUAAUAUUAAAAAUUGAUUGACUUAUUAUCACUUGUAUUUGAGAAAGAAAAUUUAUAUAAAUUAAGCAAAUCAAAUUUAAUUAGAAGGAGAAUCGAAUAUAAUUAAUCGAUAAUUGUGUGAAAUAAAUAAAUAUUCAUCAAAAAUGGAGAAAAAUAAAAUUCGUGCAAAAGAUGAAUUUGAUUUCAUGUAAUUAACCAGAAUUAUCGAAAGAUCAUUGAACAGAAAAAUCAUUCAUUGGAACAAUAUAAGCGGAAUUUGAAGUAGGAAUCAGAACGAAACGAAGCUCUUCGACGAAUAGUAUUAACUUCAUCGUCGUUGGUAUCUAGCUUGAAAGACACAUUUGCAUAUCAAUUAUAUUCUGCCUACACACCGUGCAAUAUUAUACUUCGAUAGUUCGCAGACAAUCUCGCCUCGAAUAUUAUCCCUCGGGCAACCACCUACAAUGUUUUCCCAUUGUAAAAUGUAAAAUAUUUUCUUGUUCCACCAUUUUUUCGAUUUCCUUUGAUGUUUCGAUCCGCGAUUACAUUAUUCAUUCCGGAUCCGCAUUACACUUUCAGAAUAUAAAGGAGAAUGAAAAAGAAUUUCAGGGAAUCUUUAAGAAAUUUUCCAAUCCAAUUUUUUAUUUUUCCACAGAUUUUAU